CCUACGGGUGGCAGCAGUGGGGGAUAUUGCACAAUGGGGGGAACCCUGAUGCAGCGACGUCGCGUGGGUGAAGGAGUGCUUCGGCAUGUAAAGCCCUAUUGGCAGGGAAGAAGCAUGACGGUACCUGACUAAGUAGCCCCGGCUAACUACGUGCCAGCAGCCGCGGUCAUACGUAGGGGGCGAGCGUUAUCCGGGUUCACUGGGUGUAAAGGGAGCGUAGACGGCCAAGCAAGCCAGGGGUGAAAGCCCGGGGCCCAACCCCGGGACUGCCCUUGAGACUGGAAGGCUGGAGUGCGGGAGGGGCAGGCGGAAUUCCUGGUGUAGCGGUGAAAUGCGUAGAUAUCAGGAGGAACACCGACGGCGAAGGCAGCCUGCUAAACCGCGACUGACGUUGAGGCUCGAAAGCGUGGGGAGCGAACAGGAUUAGAUACCCUAGUAGUC
This 441-nucleotide ribosomal RNA is filed under the name uncultured bacterium. RNAcentral's name for it is "partial 16S ribosomal RNA". It matches the Rfam family "Bacterial small subunit ribosomal RNA", at positions 338 to 795 of the family's 1533-position model. The record is from RNAcentral.